Molecule: long non-coding RNA, 217 nt
Filed under: Mytilus galloprovincialis (Mediterranean mussel)
Lineage: Eukaryota; Metazoa; Mollusca; Bivalvia; Mytilida; Mytilidae
Source: RNAcentral
CUUUAUUGCACUUUUCUUUGCUGUUGUUACAAAUUACUCGACCUACAGCAGUUGGCAGAGUAUCCCUGUAAAUUAGUCACUGGAUAACCAGGGAAUUUAUGCAGUGAAUUCAUAUUUAUAGAUAGUUUGUUAGUUUUACAGUUCAUGGUUAUUACAAACAUUUUACAAACUAUAUUGUUUCCUGAUUACGGAAAGUGUACAGUUUUGUCCGGUUUUG